GAUAUAAUAAAGUGAGAGAGUGAAAAUUAAGAAGGCAUGAGAGAAAACGGAGAAAGGGUGGGAAUUGAGGAUGAAUCAAAGAAGCAUAAGUCGGAAAAUAAGUGCUCAUGGAAAGUAAAAUAAAAGAGAAGCUGAUAAAUAUAAGAGAGUGAAAUAACGAUGUUUUGGAAGUGGUGUGAGGCAGAGGAGGAAGGGUGGGGCGUGAGGAAGAGGUGGGGAUGUAUAACCCGGAAAAAGAAAUGGUUACACAAGGAAGAUAAGCGCUGUGAAAGAGGGCGUUAAUGAAUGUUAUAAAAACGAGAGGAAAUAAACGAGUGAAAGGAAGUCAUUCAGAAGCGUUGAGAGGAUGGAGAGGAAACACAUGGAGUAGAAAAAAAGAAAGUUGAUUAAAUACUGAAGGAAAACGAAGGGAAGAACACUGAUGGUUGAUUCGAAAGAAGGAAAAGGAGAAUUAUGAGGAAAGGAUGCAAGAGGAGCAGGAGGAGGAGGAGGAGGAGGAGCAGGAGUAUAAGCAGGAAGGAGAAUCUAUACUCGUUGAAAAGCAGAGCAAAACUAAACAGAGCAAAAAGUGAAAAGUGUGCGAAGAGGAGGAAGAGUAGAAAGAAAAAGAACAAGAAGAAAAGAAAAGAAGAAGAAAAAGUAGAAGAAGAGGAGGAGGAGGAGAAACAGGAAAAGGAGGGACAAGACAAAGAGCACCACCGGGAUGAUAAGGAGAAAACAAAACUACUGUAACACAAAGAAAAACUAAUCUCCCAAGCAGAGAGUGACGAUAGAGCGAUUACAUAAGCAGGAAAUCCGCUGGAUGAAGUGUCGUCAGGAGCACCGGGGGAAGAGACUGAUACACUGGAGGGAGAGAGCGCUGGGCCAGGGAAGGGGUAGGUGAAGGCGGUGGUGGGGAGUCUGACUGGUGUGAGAUGGAAUAGAGGUGCAAGAGAAGGAGGUGUGCUGGUGAUUAGUAUUGUAAGGAAGAGAAGGAUGAGAUGGAAUAUAAAUGAAAUGGACGGAAAUGUGAUGGUGUUUAGUGUGAUCAGGAAGUUGGUUUAUGAUAGAAUUAAAGGGCAAUAGGAGGAGAUAAGUUCGUAGGUGUUUGAUAUUAUAAUGAAGAAGAGCAUGAGGCAGGGAAAGGUUCGUUGGUUCGAGAUGGAAUAUAAAUGAAAUAGACGGAAAUGUGAUGGUGUUUAGUGUGAUCAGGAAGUUGGUUUACGAUAGAAUUAAAGGGCAAUAGGAGGAGAUAUGUUCGUAGGUGUUUGAUAUUGUAAUGAAGAAGAGCAUGGGUCAGGGGAAGGUUCGUUGGUUUGAGAUGGAAUAUAAAUGAAAUAGACGGAAAUGUGUUGGUGUUUAGUGUGAUCAGGAAGUUGGUUUACGAUAGAAUUAAAGGGCAAUAGGAGGAGAUAUGUUCGUAGGUGUUUAAUAUCAUAAGGAAGUAGAGGAUAAGUCAGGGAAAGGCUUGCUGGUUGGAGAUGGAAUAAAAGUGCAAUAGAAAGUUAUAUAGAAGAAUUAUGAGGAUGCUAGUUAGUAGUUAAUGAGACUGGCAUGGAACGCAAAGCUAAAAGUAGGAAAGAAAGAGGAAAAAGUAAAAAAGAAAGGUAGAAAAAAAAGAGGAAGAGGUCAGUGGAGUUAGCGGAAGUCUGGCUGGUUUAAGAUUGAAUAAAAGUGGAGUAAAGAGUCAUUCACAAGAGUUACGAGGAGAUAAAAGUAAAUGAGAAAGAGGAAAAGUUCAAAGAUAGAAAUAAAAAAGAAAGAGGAAGAGGUCAGUGGAUUUAGUAUAGAAUUUGCCUGGUUAGAGAGAUCAAUAGAGAUGCAAGAGAUAAAAAUUCAAGAGUUGUGGGGAUGGAGUGUAAAUAUGAAAGUAGGAAAAAAAGAGGAAAAGGUCAAAGAUAAAAGUAAGAAUCGAAGAGGCAGAGGUCAGGACAGUUAGUGGAAGUCCGAGUGGUUUUAAAUUGAACAAAAGUGCAGUAGACUUGUAAGGAGAGAAGACAAACAUGAAAGUAGGAAGGAAUGAGGAAGGGGUCAACGAUAAAAGAAUAAAAGAAAGAGGGGAAGAGGUCGGUGGAGUUAGGGGAAGUCUGGCAAUAAACGUACAAUAGAGAGUCAUACAGAGGCGUUAUGAGGAUGGGGCGCAGACAUAAAAAAGUGGUGAAAAAAAGUUGGUUAUAUACGGAAGGAAAACGAAGGGCAAGGGAACACUUCUGGGUGAUUCGAAAGAAGGAAAAUAAGAGCUAUGAGGAGUGUUUGUUAUCGUAAGCAAGCAGAAAGUAGGAAAAAAGUUUGUCACACAGGGAAGUAAAACGAAGGGAAAGAGAACACUGCUGAUUAAUUAGAAAAAAAAGGAGGAAAAGAGCUAUAAAGAGGUUUAGGAUCAUAAGGAAAGAGAAAACAGGAAAGAACGUUGGCCACACAGGGAAGGGAAACAAAGGGAAAGAGAGCAUUAUUGGUUGAUUCGAGAGAAGGGGAAGCAAGAACUAUUAGGAUAUUUACUAUUAUAGGGAAGGAGAGCGUGAGGGAUGUUGAUACAGCAAACCUAAAGAGAUCCACAGAACAGCAUCAACAAGCAAAAGAAAACGAUGGCAAGACAGGCGGAGACACAAACUUAGACAUUUCCCUCCGCUCAAAUACGACAAUGAAGAAAAGAAUUAAGAGCAGGAAAGAGUUUGGUGUGAAGAUAAUGACAACGCAGUGAAGGAAGACAAACUUAAAGAAGAAUAAGAGAUAAAAUAAUAAGAUAAUGAGUGUUGGCUUCAAAGGGAAUAAAAGAAUCGUGCCGGAGAGAAUAACAGACACAUAGAGAAAGGAAAGAUGCGUGUUUUCAGCAAAUGACCGGAGGCUUGGGAGUGUGAAAAAGAAGGAAACACUAUUAUUACUAUUGGCACCAUUACUACUACUACUACUACUACUACUACUACUACUACUACUUUUAACACUAUUACUACUAUUAACACUUCAUUGGACAUCCGCCAGCUCUGAACACAAAGGGCACACAAAGAAAGGGAACCUGCAAGUCUUCAGUAACUGGUAAUUUGCUGAGGACUGAGAACGAAAAAAGGAAAAAAUAUAUUAAUACACUCAGGAAAAACACGACUCCACUUGCAACGUCCAAGGUCUGAGUGUAUCCAUCUCCACCAUUACGUCAUUUCCUCUACAAUACAAGACAUUCAUUAAUAAGACCAGCAAGGGACCGGACAUUAGUGAGAGCAAUAUAUCUAUUCAGAGCAAGGCUUCUAUAGAGAGGGUGCAGGAAUAUGGCCAACGAGGGACUGGGGAUCCAUUACGGGGCACAAUUUAUCGCUAAGAGCAAGGAUGCGGUAACUCGGGGCACAAAAACCUCGUCACACCACAUUUGAGACGCACUGUGAUUUACGGCGUUGGGUUUGUAAAGCAGAACCAGUUGCACAUGAAAGGUAACCGCGAGACCCCACACCGGAGCGUUCAAGGAGACAUUACAGUAAAGAGAUAACGAAGGAUGAAAAAAAUGGAGCUGACAGAAUGAGGAAAAGUGGAACUGCCAAACUUGAGAAUAGAAAGACGAACUCCCAGAACGAAGAAAAAAAAUCGUACUCCCAGAAUAAAGAAGUCGUAUUCCCAGAAUGAAGAAAAAACUCGUACUGCCAAAAUGAAAAAAAAAUCGUACUGCCAGAAUGAAGAAAAAAAGUCGUACUGCAAGAAUGAAGAAAAAAAGUCGUACCACCAGAAUGAAGAAAAAAAGUCGUACUGCCAGAAUGAAGAAAAAACUCGUACUGCCAAAAUGAAAAAAAUUCGUGCUGCCAGAAUGAAGAAAAAAAGUCGUACUGCCAGAAUGAAGAAAAAAGUCGUACUGCCAGAAUGAAGAAAAAAGUCGUACUGCCAGAAUGAAGAAAAAAGUCGUACUGCCAGAAUGAAGAAAAAAGUCGUACUGCCCGAAUGAGAGAAAAACGAACUGCAGAAUUUACAGAAUUAUAAAAAAAAGACGAACUCCCAGAAUGAAAAGGAAAGUCGAAAUGCCAGAAUGAGAAAAAAGUUGAAGUACUAGAACGAGAAAAACGUCCCCUUGCCAGAGUACCACAGAGAGGAACCUGUUUAGCAGCAAAGGUGAUCCCGACCCCCGCAUGAGGCUUCAAGGCCACACCAGAACUUGAUUUGAGGAGGAAACGUCAGAGCUGCUGUUGGUUUGGUGUCGUGAUGCGAGGAGGGAUUUUUUUUCACAGUCAAGGAAAAUAAAGCAGGAUAAUGACUGUUGGAUUAAAAGAGAAUGAAAGAAUUGUGUCAAAGAACCAAUUAAUAAGAGUGUUAAUAAAGAAGGAAUAUGUACAACCACUUUAUUAGCACUUCAAACUUAAGUGAAAAAAUAUACACGAACUCCAAACGUUCAGAAACUGGUUAUUCCCAGAGAACUGAGAAAAGAUAUUAAUGCAACAUGGGAAAACCUGAAUCCGCUUGAAACGUCAGAGAUCUGUGUAUAGUUACCUUCACCAUUAUAUUAUUUCCUCCACAAUACGACAAAACACCCAUUAAUAAGAUCAGCAGGGGACCGGACAUGGUAAGCGCACCGAAACGCAGUCAUAGGAAGCAACAAAACAAAGGUGGCAUUGAACCUCCGCCACAAACUCUGCAAGGAAUGGACGGAAGAACUCGCCCCGCCCUUAACGAUGAGACAUGAUGGAUGCCUUGGGGUAGAAAAUAUUACCAAGCUGGAAUUGUUGGAACCAAGACAAAGACCAACACUUUGUCAUCCAUUUUACAUUAGGGUUUAUGUCUGCAAGAAGUGGAUGGAACACCUUGUCCUAUACCCACAACGAGGAGGCAUGAUAGAUGGAGUUAGAAAAUAUUGCCAAGUUGGAAAUAUUGAAACCAAGAAGAUAUACACUUUGUCAUCCAUUUUACAUCAGGGUUUUCGUCUGCAAGAAGUGGAUGGAAUACCUUCUCCUAUACCCACAACGAGGAGGCACGAUAAAUGGAGUGAGUUAGAAAAUAUUGCCAAGUUGGAAAUGUUGAAACCAAGGCGACUUACUCUUUGUCAUCUGUAUUACAUUAGGAUUUGUAUGCAGACAUGAUUGAUAGAGAGGGACGGAAAGUAAUACCAAGCUGGAAUUCCUGAAACCAAGGAGACUUACACUUUGUCAUUUAUUUCACAUUAGGGUCUUUAUCCAUUUAUUCCGAUUUAUGCAGUAAUAUUUUGGCGGCAGGGGAGUCUGGCGAGGGAUCAGAGCAGAAACGUCAGUAAAGAAAACCGAUGGCGAGCUUCAAAAUAUGCGAAACAAUUUUUUUUUCUUUUUUUCUUUUUUUUAAGAUUAUUGAACCUUUUGAGACUUGCCACGAGCUCCCUUUACCGCAGCACCGUCAGGCGUUUAGAUGAUACAUACAUAAAGGAAAAAAAAAAAACAUACAGGGUUAAGAGAUGAACUAUACACCUGUUUCUGUAUGGCGUUAAUAAACACAAAAAAAUGAGAAAACAUACAUACAAAACAAAAAACAAACAUAUAAAGACAAAUACACACAAAA
Molecule: long non-coding RNA, 5475 nt
Organism: Eriocheir sinensis (Chinese mitten crab)
Lineage: Eukaryota; Metazoa; Arthropoda; Malacostraca; Decapoda; Varunidae
Exons: 3
Source: RefSeq, a predicted model, not a curated record